This 83-nucleotide transfer RNA is filed under the name Canis lupus familiaris (dog). It matches the Rfam family "tRNA". From Rfam's summary of the family: Transfer RNA (tRNA) molecules are approximately 80 nucleotides in length. Lineage: Eukaryota; Metazoa; Chordata; Mammalia; Carnivora; Canidae. The record is from Rfam by way of RNAcentral. RNAcentral also lists the same sequence under 2 other names.
GCCUGGGUGGCUCAGUGGUUGAGCAUCUGCCUUUGGCUCAGGUCCUAAUCCUGGGGUCCUGGGAUUCAGUCCCAGAUCAGGCU